UCGAGGAUCUUCGGCAAUGGGCGAAAGCCUGACCGAGCGACGCCGCGUGGGCGAUGAAGGCCUUCGGGUUGUAAAGCCCUGUCGAGGGGGAGAAAAGCGCAAGCUUGAUCUAUCCCUGGAGGAAGCACGGGCUAAGUUCGUGCCAGCAGCCGCGGUAAGACGAACCGUGCGAACGUUAUUCGGAAUCACUGGGCUUAAAGGGUGCGUAGGCGGGUUGCCAAGUCUGUGGUGAAAUCCUCCAGCUUAACUGGAGAACUGCCGUGGAUACUGGCGACCUCGAGGGGUGUAGGGGCUUGCGGAACUGUGCGUGGAGCGGUGAAAUGCGUUGAUAUGCACAGGAACUCCGGUGGCGAAAGCGGCGAGCUGGACACCUUCUGACGCUGAGGCACGAAAGCUAGGGGAGCGAACGG
RNAcentral lists this ribosomal RNA (410 nucleotides) under uncultured bacterium. RNAcentral's name for it is "bacterial SSU rRNA". It matches the Rfam family "Bacterial small subunit ribosomal RNA", at positions 355 to 775 of the family's 1533-position model. The record is from RNAcentral.